UGUAAAUUACACCAUCUUUGCAGCCUUUGCUCUCACAACCUCAACCUUUUCGAUCUGUCUCUCUCUCAACAUCUUCUGGCCCGAAGGAAGACGCUCUGCUUCUCUCUUGGCUCGAGCUCAUCUCUCAGUCUCUCCCUCUCUCUCUCUCUCUCUCUCUGUCCUCUCUCUCUCUCUAUAUAUAUAUAUAUGAGGUAAAGUGAUUGCAUUUAGGAGUUAAAAAAAAAAAAAAAAAAAACAUUAUUGUGGAUAAAUUUCCUCUUUUUUUGUUUGAGAAAAAUUUACUUUGCCGCAACAACUAUAUGAAAAAAAACACCCUCAUUAUUGAAGUGCCUUUUGGAAAUGGACCUACCUUAGCUACCGACCUCUCCACCAACUUUACUAAAUAAACUCACAUUAUUAUUAUUAUUAUUAUUUUUUGUAAAUUACACGAUCUUUGCAGCCUUUGCUCUGACAACCUCAACAUUUUCUCUCUAACCAGACCAUGUUCGAUCUCUCUCUCUCAACAUCUUUUGGCCCGAAGGAAGACGCUCUCCCUCUCUCUUGGCUCGAGCUCAUCUCUCAGUCCUUCUCUCUCUCUCUCUCUCUCUAACUAUAUAUAUAUAUAUAUAUAUAUAUAUAUAUGAGGUGGCAACCAUAUCUGAAAGGUGGAAGCGGAGAAAGGUUGAUGAAGAGGAAUGUUGUAAAGAUGAAGACUUGUAUAUAGACUCGUAUAUAUAUAUUACUUAUGUUUUGCUUAUUAUUCAGGAUCCUUUAUCUUUGAUGUUUACGUAACUUCUGUGAAGUAUUUUGAUGUAUUUAUUUAUUUUUUAUUUUAAUUGAUUGUCUUCUCUUUUGUGAUAAAUUCUAUUUUUAAAGCGAUUCUGAAUAUUAUUAAUGCUCUGGAUUUCUUA
Long non-coding RNA from Cornus florida, 890 nucleotides. RefSeq lists it as uncharacterized. The record is from RefSeq and is a predicted model, not a curated record. Lineage: Eukaryota; Viridiplantae; Streptophyta; Magnoliopsida; Cornales; Cornaceae. The transcript has 2 exons.